Molecule: ribosomal RNA, 1387 nt
Filed under: uncultured bacterium
Lineage: Bacteria
Description: bacterial SSU rRNA
Rfam family: Bacterial small subunit ribosomal RNA
Source: RNAcentral
GAAUUCGCCCUUAGAGUUUGAUCCUGGCUCAGGACGAACGCUGGCGGCGCGCCUAACACAUGCAAGUCGAACGGAGCUUAGAGAGCUUGCUUUUUAAGCUUAGUGGCGAACGGGUGAGUAACGCGUGAGUAACCUGCCCUAGAGUGGGGGACAACAGUUGGAAACGACUGCUAAUACCGCAUAAGCCCACGGUACCGCAUGGUACUGAGGGAAAAGGAUUUAUUCGCUUUAGGAUGGACUCGCGUCCAAUUAGCUAGUUGGUGAGGUAACGGCCCACCAAGGCGACGAUUGGUAGCCGGACUGAGAGGUUGAACGGCCACAUUGGGACUGAGACACGGCCCAGACUCCUACGGGAGGCAGCAGUGGGGGAUAUUGCACAAUGGGGGAAACCCUGAUGCAGCGACGCCGCGUGGAGGAAGAAGGUUUUCGGAUUGUAAACUCCUGUCGUUAGGGACGAUAAUGACGGUACCUAACAAGAAAGCACCGGCUAACUACGUGCCAGCAGCCGCGGUAAAACGUAGGGUGCAAGCGUUGUCCGGAAUUACUGGGUGUAAAGGGAGCGCAGGCGGGAAGACAAGUUGGAAGUGAAAACCAUGGGCUCAACCCAUGAAUUGCUUUCAAAACUGUUUUUCUUGAGUAGUGCAGAGGUAGAUGGAAUUCCCGGUGUAGCGGUGGAAUGCGUAGAUAUCGGGAGGAACACCAGUGGCGAAGGCGGUCUACUGGGCACCAACUGACGCUGAGGCUCGAAAGCGUGGGGAGCAAACAGGAUUAGAUACCCUGGUAGUCCACGCCGUAAACGAUGACUACUAGGUGUUGGAGGAUUGACCCCUUCAGUGCCGCAGUUAACACAAUAAGUAAUCCACCUGGGGAGUACGACCGCAAGGUUGAAACUCAAAGGAAUUGACGGGGGCCCGCACAAGCAGUGGAGUAUGUGGUUUAAUUCGACGCAACGCGAAGAACCUUACCAAGUCUUGACAUCCUGCGACGCACAUAGAAAUAUGUGUUUCCUUCGGGACGCAGAGACAGGUGGUGCAUGGUUGUCGUCAGCUCGUGUCGUGAGAUGUUGGGUUAAGUCCCGCAACGAGCGCAACCCCUAUCCUCAGUAGCCAGCGGUUCGGCCGGGCACUCUGGGGAGACUGCCAGGGAUAACCUGGAGGAAGGCGGGGAUGACGUCAAAUCAUCAUGCCCCUUAUGACUUGGGCUACACACGUGCUACAAUGGCGUAAACAAAGGGAGGCAAAGCUGUGAAGCCGAGCAAAUCUCAAAAAUAACGUCUCAGUUCGGACUGUAGUCUGCAACCCGACUACACGAAGCUGGAAUCGCUAGUAAUCGCAGAUCAGAAUGCUGCGGUGAAUACGUUCCCGGGUCUUGUACACACCGCCCGUCA